AGAAUCAACGCUGGCGGCGUGCCUAACACAUGCAAGUCGCACGAGAAAGUGGAGCAAUCCACGAGUAAAGUGGCGCACGGGUGAGUAACACGUGAAUAAUCUACCUCCGAGUGGGGAAUAACUGAGAGAAAUCUUAGCUAAUACCGCAUAAUACCCACGGGUCAAAGCAGCAAUGCGCUUGGAGAGGAGUUCGCGGCCGAUUAGCUAGUUGGCGGGGUAAUGGCCCACCAAGGCGAUGAUCGGUAUCCGGCCUGAGAGGGCGCACGGACACACUGGAACUGAAACACGGUCCAGACUCCUACGGGAGGCAGCAGUGGGGAAUUUUGCGCAAUGGGGGAAACCCUGACGCAGCAACGCCGCGUGGAGGAUGAAAUCCCUUGGGAUGUAACUCCUUUCGAUAGGGAAGAUAAUGACGGUACCUAUAGAAGAAGCCCGGCUAACUUCGCGCCAGCAGCCGC
RNAcentral lists this ribosomal RNA (458 nucleotides) under uncultured bacterium. RNAcentral's name for it is "SSU rRNA". It matches the Rfam family "Bacterial small subunit ribosomal RNA", at positions 26 to 518 of the family's 1533-position model. The record is from RNAcentral.